Molecule: ribosomal RNA, 166 nt
Filed under: uncultured bacterium
Lineage: Bacteria
Description: partial 16S ribosomal RNA
Rfam family: Bacterial small subunit ribosomal RNA
Source: RNAcentral
UAGGGAAGUCUUCCACAAUGGACGAAAGUACUGAUGGAGCAACGCCGCGUGAGUGAAGAAGGGUUUCGGCUCGUAAAACUCUGUUGUUAAAGAAGAACAUAUCUGAGAGUAACUGUUCAGGUAUUGACGGUAUUUAACCAGAAAGCCACGGCUAACUACGUGCCAG